CUCUAGCAUCGCUGGUGAUGUGAUCUGCCACUAGCUGAAGACACACCUAAUUACAUAUGAAAAUAAAGUGACUUCCUUACCAACAGACCCCAGGUGCUGAGGAUAGGGAAACACACAUCUGACCCACUGACCCUCAACACUGGAAUCGUGCAGGGGGCUUGCUGUUUGAGAACACUAGUGUCCGAAAUCACUCCUUCAGGAUUGUUCU
Fundulus heteroclitus (mummichog) is the source of this 208-nucleotide long non-coding RNA. RefSeq lists it as uncharacterized. The record is from RefSeq and is a predicted model, not a curated record. Lineage: Eukaryota; Metazoa; Chordata; Actinopteri; Cyprinodontiformes; Fundulidae. The transcript is spliced from 3 exons.